RNAcentral lists this transfer RNA (57 nucleotides) under Heterocephalus glaber (naked mole-rat). It matches the Rfam family "tRNA", at positions 8 to 63 of the family's 71-position model. Rfam says of the family: Transfer RNA (tRNA) molecules are approximately 80 nucleotides in length. Lineage: Eukaryota; Metazoa; Chordata; Mammalia; Rodentia; Bathyergidae. The record is from Rfam by way of RNAcentral.
UAGCUCAGUGGUAGAGUGCAUGCCUCGCAUGCAUGAGGCCCUGGGUUCAAUCCCUAG